Callithrix jacchus (white-tufted-ear marmoset) is the source of this 2403-nucleotide long non-coding RNA. The record is from Ensembl. NCBI's taxonomy places the organism in Eukaryota, Metazoa, Chordata, Mammalia, Primates, Cebidae.
AUGCGUUUAAGAGGUGGAUUGUCAGGUGUAUAUUUGUUGAGAGAAGAGAGUGCCAAGUGCAUUUGGAGAGAGGUCUGUUACUCAAAAUUAAGCAGGCUUUUUUUUCUUUUUAACUGCAGAAAUUCUCAUUGCCUGACCCCUGCAAAGAUAUUAAGAGAAACCUUGUUCCUUAUAGUUCUCACAAUUGGUCACUCUCCAUCUGUAAUAGGUUGAAUGGUUACUCUCAAAAACAUAUGUCCACAUUCUAAUGGGAGGAACCUAGGAGUGUGAUUUAAGCCUUAAAUCCAAUGACAAGUUUCCUUAUAAGAAAUAAAAGAGGAGAAAGCAAUGUGAAGAUGGAGACGGAGAUAAAAUGAUGCAGCCACAUGCAAGGGAAACUGGAACCACCAGAAGCUGGAAGAGGCAAGGAUAAAUUUUCCACGAGAAAAUUCAGAGGGAGCAUGUCCUAGCCAACAUCCUGUUUUCAGACUUAUACCCUCCAGAACGUCUAGAGUACCCUAUAGAACUUCCAGAGAACACAUUGCUGUUGUCAGAAGCAACCUAGUUAAUGGUAAUUUGUUACAACAGUCCUAGGAAUCUAAUAAACUCUUCCCUUUUCAGUUGCCCUCAUUUGUUAUUCUGAUGCCUCCUUAUGUGUUAUUUUCCCCAUAGUUUCCCGUAGUUCCUGCUCCUCUUACAUUACACUGUAACCUAGGAUUAACUUACCUACUUCAGACCACCACAGAUUUUUGUGAUCCAGGUCUUUAUUUCCUGUGCUCUAUAUCUAUUUAACUAACUUUCUGUUAGACACUGUAAACGUAUUAUCCUGUAGACUAUUGAAAAUACACCUCUCUCUCUCUCUCUUUCCUAUAAAACUGCUUUUGGAUGCCCCAUUUUCUGCCUGGUACCAUUUGGAGGGAACUUUAUAAUAAUUUCUGAUAUAAACUACUAAAUCCUAUCAGCUUCACAAGUCUUCAUUGAACAUAUUUUUUAGGACAGAAUUUAUUCCUCUAACUAUAUAACAAUUUAGAUACAUUGAAAUUAUCGAAAAAUGGAAAGAAAAACAAUGUACCUAUAACCUCACCAUCUAAGACCAUCACCAUUAACCACUGAAUGCACUUCAUGUCAGUCAUUUUGUUAUUCAAUUUUUCAUAUUAGUGAUCAGGGUGUAGAUAGUUUUACAUACCUAUAGAUUAAUGAGGACAUCUCACUUGUUUUCAGAAUUGUCAGUGUUGGUUUUAGGAUCUCUGAAACAUAAUUUCUCAUCUGUUACCAGUAAUCUCCUAACUGAAUUUUAAAGCAGUGCUUGCUCAUCAUCUUCACUUUGACUUGAACCAGAGCCCAGGCACUAAACCAGUUUUCCACCUUGUGUUCCUUCCAGUGGAGCCAUAAUCAUUAAAAUAGCGUGAGAUGACGUAGUCUCUUAUGACAGCUACUCUCCAUUGCCCAAACCUGCUGAAGAAUUAUCAUGUGCAAUUGUUUCUGGAAUGUCAUCAUUCAGUUUAGAUUUCACAGUUGAUGUGAAUAUGGGAGGAAUAAAUUACUCACGUACUGCCUAGCCUGAAGUUAGUUAGUUUCAUAAGCACAUGUAUGAUCACAAAGCCAGAGAAGGAAGUGUUCUGCCUUCAAUGACAAUGUCUUUUACUACUGGAUAUUUCAUUGUAGUUUUUAGAUUCCAAAGUGUCAAAAUGUUAAGCUUAAAGUUCCUAAUUGGGAGAUUAUAUCAGAAUAUUUCAUAAGACUUUUGAUAGAACAGUGGACUUUCUUCCUACAGUUUUCACUGAGGUCAGGUCUUAGAGCACAGGUUGCCUUUUCCAAAGCAGCAAGGGGUCAACGCUCUCAUGUAGCCUUUGUCCUCAUCACUUCCCACCCCUGCCAGCUCUCCUGACUCACCAAAUUUUACAACUGUUUUAAUCAUCGAUGUUGUGAAAGGUAUUAAUCUCAUCUCUAUUCUGCUCAAAAUGUGGGAAAAUCUUUUCUCAGUUCAUCAGCAACGAGAUUAGAUCUUUUCAAAAGAGGAGAUUAGAAAUCAGACAUAUAAAAGUUAGAAAUGGGUGCAUGCGUAAGUAUGGAUUAGUGACCCAAAGGCUUGUCUGAAGAUUGCCGCAACUUGAGUACACUCUGCACUCCUGGAGAGUUGCAUGUUGGUUAUCCAUGCAGCUCUACUUCUGGGAGUAUCCUGCCCAUCCAGAGCUCAUUCAUGACUCAGAGAGAUGUGGAAUCUCAUAACCUUCUCCCUAUGUCCUCUCACCAAGUUGGUUCUAGCUUUCGGGUCAUUGUAGGGUUGCCUCAAUUGCUCCCAAAUCAUUUGAGUGCUGGUCUUCCUGUUCCCUGGAAAAUCCCUGUGCCAUGGUCCUGUUCAGACAAUGUUUCCCAAAGAUGAUAGCUGCCAAGAUGCCCCAAGGUGAGUGCCCAGUGUUACCU